AUGAAACGGGCUGAGGAGGAGCAGAGAGCCUGGAUAUCCCCUUGGCAGCAAUGGGCAGAGAUCCACUCAGUACAGCCAGGGCCAUUUAUAUCUAGCUGGGCAACUCUACCAGCUUUGCCUUCUGCCCUCCUUCAGGCCAGUCUCACCCUCUUAGCAAGAGGGAAAUCUGCAGGCUCUCAAGCAGAGCCUGGCAGCUUUUCCUUACACCUUGGAUUGCUCAAAGUGCUGACUCCCUGUGCUCCCGCAGCUCUUCCGGCGUGUGGCCUCAGCUCUGCCAGGAAUGGAGAGUUCCCAAGAGAAGGGCAAAGAAGGAAUGGUUGACAUCAAAUUGGACAAGCCCCAGGAGGCACCAGCCAGCGAAAGUGGGUGCUCAUGCUAGCCCAGAGCAGUCAGGUGCCUGUGCUAUCCCAUGCUCAACACCUUGCUGCCUACAGAGGCCACUGGAGUUGGCAGCUGGGAACUGUAUUUUUUGCUCUCUCUGGGGCAGGAAGAUUGGAGGCGUGGGGAAAAUGUUCUCUUCACAAUCAUGGCUCUUAACUGCAGUUAUGGAAAGUUUGUUUUUCUUUGUUGUUUUUUGUUGUAAAAUAUUGGGGAAGGGGGGGGAAGGUUGGUAAAAAUUACAAAUGAAGUAGGUUGUACAACUGCCAAAAUAAAAUGUCGAGAAAGAAAACA
This 672-nucleotide long non-coding RNA is filed under the name Apteryx owenii (little spotted kiwi). Its description in RNAcentral is "lncRNA (ENSAOWG00000000189.1)". Lineage: Eukaryota; Metazoa; Chordata; Aves; Apterygiformes; Apterygidae. The record is from RNAcentral.